UACGGAGGGUGCAAGCGUUAAUCGGAAUUACUGGGCGUAAAGCGCGCGUAGGCGGUUAGAUAAGUCGGAUGUGAAAGCCCCGGGCUCAACCUGGGAACUGCAUUCGAUACUGUCUGACUAGAGUAUGAGAGAGGGAGGUAGAAUUCCACGUGUAGCGGUGAAAUGCGUAGAUAUGUGGAGGAAUACCAGUGGCGAAGGCGGCCUCCUGGCUUAAUACUGACGCUGAGGUGCGAAAGCGUGGGGAGCAAACAGG
This 253-nucleotide ribosomal RNA is filed under the name uncultured bacterium. RNAcentral's name for it is "partial 16S ribosomal RNA". It matches the Rfam family "Bacterial small subunit ribosomal RNA", at positions 524 to 776 of the family's 1533-position model. The record is from RNAcentral.